GGAGGCCGGAGGAUCGGGCGGCGGCGGCGGCGGCGGCUGAGAGGGCGGCGGCGGGAGCGGAGCGGGACGAGGGAGCGAGAGGAAGCGAGCGAGGAGCUAGCGGAGCGCGCCCAGCCCCGCCCGCCCUUCCGCUCGCCGGAGCAGCCCGAGCAGCCCCGGCCCCCAGCCGCCGCCGCCGCCGCCGCAGCCGCCUGCCCGCCCGCCCGCCGGACAAAGCCCGAGAGCCCGCGCCCAGAGCCAUGUCCUCGUCCUCCGGCAGCGGCCACCAGCCCAGCCAGAGCCGCGCCAUCCCCACCCGCACCGUGCCCAUCAGCGACGCCGCGCAGCUACCUCAUGACUAUUGCACCACGCCCGGGGGGACGCUCUUCUCCACCACGCCGGGAGGAACGCGAAUCAUUUACGAUCGAAAGUUUCUGUUGGAUCGUCGCAAUUCUCCCAUGGCUCAGACCCCGCCCUGCCAUCUGCCCAAUAUCCCAGGGGUCACCAGCCCUGGCACCUUAAUCGAAGACUCCAAAGUAGAAGUAAACAAUUUGAACAACUUGAACAAUCAUGACAGGAAGCAGGCAGUUGGUUCUCCCCUCCCAUCAGCAAGGUUCAUUGAAAUGUUCUGGAAAUCCUGUGUUCUAAAUCAUAAGCAAAUCUAACCCGAGGGCGGCGGGAAAUCCAAAACCAGGGAAUAGUAAAUCCUUAAGAUGCAUCAUGAAACCAGGUCUCAGGGGAUGACGCUCAGUUUGAGAUGGACAUCUGAGUGCCCUGCAGGAUCGGAAGAAAAGCGGCAGCACCGAGGCUGUGUCACCGGAUGGGGCCCAGAGGACCAACAACCAGCAGACAGGAGGGGCGGUGUCGGCAAGCGUCACAGCCCCCGCGUCCCCUUCUUCCUUCCUCUGGGUGCCAAAUGAUGCAAAGAUGAGCUUCAUCUGACUAUUUCCUCUCCGUUUCCUGUCCCCCUUCCCAGGUAGUCAAGUUCGCUCCAAGGUCCUUGGCAUAUUUCCCUAGACCUAAGCAGCCCACAGAGGAAAGCAGUUCAACUCUGGCUUCCGUGGUCAUUUUGCUGUUGAGAAAACCUCUCCUCCCUCCCCCAGCCCCCCCUUUCUUCUUUUAAUCCCAAAUCAAGUAUCAGCCUACCAACAAUUGCCUGCCUGGGAAGUCUGGGGAAGUGAUAGGUUUGCUGGGCUCAGCAUUAUGCAUGUUCUAACCCUCUAUCUGCCCUCCGUGUCUCCCAUCUGUGGUUCAGAGCUGCAAGAAUCUGGGUUUUCGGUCUUCACAGCCACCAGAGGGAAAUGAUAAGCGAGAAGGGCGCGCUCUCCCUUUUACCUUGAGGUGUUUGUCCUUAGGGGCAGAGCACAGCCUGUGCGUUCUGGUAGCAUCCCUGUGUGGUGCCGUUUGGAGGCCCGCUUCCCCACCUUCCUCUGGCAGGAGUGUCUUGUGUCUUUGAGAGCCGAGUUCAGCUUCCCAGGCCUUCGCUUAGCACAUUGGUGCAGAAAGGUUUGAGCUCUACCUGAGAAGGGCGUCCGCGGUGAGCAGCGGGGCUCUCCUCCUGUCCUGCCUCCCUGCUGGCAUUCCCCUUGCCCACGGUCCUCUUGUCUCUGAGCCGCCCGAGCGGUUCUGGCGCUCCUGGAACAGGCCUGUCCAAGUGACACAGGCGCUCUGGGGAAGGCCUGGUCAUCGUGUUCCGCUGGGUGACACCGAAGAAUGACCUUGGGAGCGUGGCGAACCCCGGGGGUGCUUGGUCUCAGUAGUCCUUGCUUUUCAGUCCACUGAGCGUUGUGAUGUUUGCUGUCUCUGAUCGCAGUUUCUUAUGUUUUGAGUUUAAAAGGUGACUUUCAGAAUGCUCUUAGAAAAGAACGAAACUGUUUCUCUCUGUGGACCUGCUUAGGCUGCUGGGAUAGAUGAGCAUGGGCUUAAAAGUGUGGCCCCACCCCCACCCCCUCCCGGGUUCUCUUGCCUUCCCCAUCGGACUCGGAACUGUCCCUCUCUUUCCCCGCUUCCUGCCCUCCCUCCCACCUUGUUCUCUGCCAGGCCAUUUUUCAGAUAUACAUCAAAGAUACCUCAAGUGUUGGUAUCUGAUAAGAUCUCACUCCUCUUAUCUGAGGAGGGGUCUUUUAUUUUUAAGAUGACUACAGACCUAUUUUUAGAUAUGUUUUCAAUACAGUUUUGAACAGCAACUUUUUAAUUACACAUCUUCCAGUGUUAGGAAGGUGAGAGACGUCCACAGGCGAGUCUGCUGUUCCGUGUCACCCUCCUCUGUCUACCCCAGUUCCCGACGAGCUCUUUGCUUCUCCCUCUAGUUUUGGGUGUGCAUGUUUGCAGUUUGUAGUGGGUGGUUUGUAAAACUGGACCAUUCUCCUUGCCGUGGGUUGUUUAUGAAAGCCUCAUUCUUUUCCCUCACCCUUUGCUUUUUCAUUCCCUGUCCUCCCUGUCCCGCUCUCCUCACUAUUGACUGGCAUGGUGAUCCCGGGAGAGUGACCCCCUCGUAGAAAGACUUAACGCCUCCGUCCCCUCAAAGAACCACCAGGAAAGUAGCCACUGGUGUCCUGGGAACUUCUGGUUACGUGUGGUAUCCUGAGCCCUCUGAAGAGAUCACAUCCCAGAGUGAGAAUAACAGGCCAAUUGCCUAAGAAAGAAAGCUGUUUGUUUUUCUUUCGAGCUAGGAAAAGACCCUGUUAACAAACACAUUUUAGACAGAAGAGAGGAAGGAUGUCUGAGGAACUUUGUUCUGGUUUUUUACUACAAAAUGUGAAUAGUUCAAAGAGUGAACCUUUUGUGAUGGUUGAUGUCUCUCAGGAAUAAGCUGGAUCUCCAAAAUUGGGGGGGAUGCUUUUCAGCCUCAAAAAUCGAUGAUCAGAAAAGUAUUUUUUGUUUGUCUGUUUGUUUGUUUAAUGUAUCCCUGUUCUGGUUUUAAUUAAACUCCAAAUUUCACUUUA
Felis catus (domestic cat) is the source of this 2924-nucleotide RNA transcript. It is a transcript of the gene named eukaryotic translation initiation factor 4E binding protein 2, with no coding region annotated. NCBI's taxonomy places the organism in Eukaryota, Metazoa, Chordata, Mammalia, Carnivora, Felidae. The record is from RefSeq and is a predicted model, not a curated record. The transcript is spliced from 4 exons.